RNAcentral lists this unclassified non-coding RNA (988 nucleotides) under Hevea brasiliensis (rubber tree). Lineage: Eukaryota; Viridiplantae; Streptophyta; Magnoliopsida; Malpighiales; Euphorbiaceae. The record is from RNAcentral.
AGGAGAUGAAGAUCAGUUGCAAGUCCAAAUUUUUCCUUCUAAUUUAUAAUUUUUUUCAAGUGUGAUAUUUGAAGAAUAAUGUGGUCAAAUAAAAGAAUUAAACAAUAAAAGUCAUUAGAGCACUUGCAAGUGCCAAAUCAGAUUUUAGAUCGCAUAUCUUGAACAACUGGCCAUCUGAAGUAUCAUAUUUAUGCUGACAUAAGUGGCUUAUGUGACAUAUGAGGCCACUACUGCCUAAACAACUUAAGAGUAAUCAAACACAAUGUCCUUAUAAUUUUCUUUUUAAUUUAUCAUAUUAAAUUAGUUUUGUGAGUUCCAUUAUAAUUUGUUCUGUGGGUGAAUGCAUUAAAUGGGUUGAGUUGGGUUUGAUUAACUUAAUUUGUGUGGUAGCUGUGGGCUCCAUUUGCUACAUCAGUGCUUAGUAUAGCAUUAAAAAGGGAAUGUCAGAUUUCAUCCAAGUUUUGAGUCAACAUUACUUGUAUGUGUGAUUGAAAGAUAUUAAUUGUUCAACUUUUCAUUGUUCAAGAACUUUGAUUGUACUGAAUUAUUUUUGGGGACUAAUACAAAAGUUUGAAAAAAAAUUUGGGUUACACUGGUCAAAAUGUAUUGUGGGGUGAAGGAAAAGGUAAUAAAGGAGAAAGAGAGGGAAAGAAAUCAAGGGGGUAAUGUGGCAUGUGGAUUAGAGAAAUUGUCUGGUUCUGAACUAUAACUUAUAAUGGUGUUCACACAAACUUCGUGUUAGGUUCACAUAAUGAGAAUCAAUAACAUUUUUAUAGGAAAAAUUCAAAUUAUAUUUGGUUCACAUUUGAGAUAGUUUUGAUGAUAUUACUAUUGAAAUCACGCCAAAACUUUAGGGUUAAUUAGAAACGGUGCUCAUGUUUUAAUUUGAACUUUUGCAUACUUGCACAUCCUAAGAUGAGUGCAGUUUUCAAAUAAAAACAACCUUUUGUAAUUAUUUCCGUUCCUUUUAUUAUUAUUAUUAUUAUUA